UUUAUGGAGAGUUUGAUCCUGGCUCAGGAUGAACGCUGGCGGCGUGCCUAAUACAUGCAAGUCGAGCGAACGGACGAGAAGCUUGCUUCUCUGAUGUUAGCGGCGGACGGGUGAGUAACACGUGGAUAACCUACCUAUAAGACUGGGAUAACUUCGGGAAACCGGAGCUAAUACCGGAUAAUAUUUUGAACCGCAUGGUUCAAAAGUGAAAGACGGUCUUGCUGUCACUUAUAGAUGGAUCCGCGCUGCAUUAGCUAGUUGGUAAGGUAACGGCUUACCAAGGCAACGAUGCAUAGCCGACCUGAGAGGGUGAUCGGCCACACUGGAACUGAGACACGGUCCAGACUCCUACGGGAGGCAGCAGUAGGGAAUCUUCCGCAAUGGGCGAAAGCCUGACGGAGCAACGCCGCGUGAGUGAUGAAGGUCUUCGGAUUGUAAAACUCUGUUAUUAGGGAAGAACAUAUGUGUAAGUAACUGUGCACAUCUUGACGGUACCUAAUCAGAAAGCCACGGCUAACUACGUGCCAGCAGCCGCGGUAAUACGUAGGUGGCAAGCGUUAUCCGGAAUUAUUGGGCGUAAAGCGCGCGUAGGCGGUUUUUUAAGUCUGAUGUGAAAGCCCACGGCUCAACCGUGGAGGGUCAUUGGAAACUGGAAAACUUGAGUGCAGAAGAGGAAAGUGGAAUUCCAUGUGUAGCGGUGAAAUGCGCAGAGAUAUGGAGGAACACCAGUGGCGAAGGCGACUUUCUGGUCUGUAACUGACGCUGAUGUGCGAAAGCGUGGGGAUCAAACAGGAUUAGAUACCCUGGUAGUCCACGCCGUAAACGAUGAGUGCUAAGUGUUAGGGGGUUUCCGCCCCUUAGUGCUGCAGCUAACGCAUUAAGCACUCCGCCUGGGGAGUACGACCGCAAGGUUGAAACUCAAAGGAAUUGACGGGGACCCGCACAAGCGGUGGAGCAUGUGGUUUAAUUCGAAGCAACGCGAAGAACCUUACCAAAUCUUGACAUCCUUUGACAACUCUAGAGAUAGAGCCUUCCCCUUCGGGGGACAAAGUGACAGGUGGUGCAUGGUUGUCGUCAGCUCGUGUCGUGAGAUGUUGGGUUAAGUCCCGCAACGAGCGCAACCCUUAAGCUUAGUUGCCAUCAUUAAGUUGGGCACUCUAAGUUGACUGCCGGUGACAAACCGGAGGAAGGUGGGGAUGACGUCAAAUCAUCAUGCCCCUUAUGAUUUGGGCUACACACGUGCUACAAUGGACAAUACAAAGGGCAGCGAAACCGCGAGGUCAAGCAAAUCCCAUAAAGUUGUUCUCAGUUCGGAUUGUAGUCUGCAACUCGACUACAUGAAGCUGGAAUCGCUAGUAAUCGUAGAUCAGCAUGCUACGGUGAAUACGUUCCCGGGUCUUGUACACACCGCCCGUCACACCACGAGAGUUUGUAACACCCGAAGCCGGUGGAGUAACCUUUUAGGAGCUAGCCGUCGAAGGUGGGACAAAUGAUUGGGGUGAAGUCGUAACAAGGUAGCCGUAUCGGAAGGUGCGGCUGGAUCACCUCCUUU
RNAcentral lists this ribosomal RNA (1552 nucleotides) under Staphylococcus aureus. RNAcentral's name for it is "16S ribosomal RNA". It matches the Rfam family "Bacterial small subunit ribosomal RNA". Lineage: Bacteria; Bacillati; Bacillota; Bacilli; Caryophanales; Staphylococcaceae. The record is from RNAcentral.